AGGUCACUCUUAGUUGGAUGGUAUGC
RNAcentral lists this non-coding RNA (26 nucleotides) under Mus musculus (house mouse). Lineage: Eukaryota; Metazoa; Chordata; Mammalia; Rodentia; Muridae. The record is from RNAcentral.